UGAUUUCAGACAGUUGGCGACUUGAUGUUCAGCACUACCACAAAACAAACAUUUCCCCGAUUUCCUCCAGCAGUCAUUUUCAGAGUGGUUGGAUUUACCACAGUAUCCGCAAGUAACUUGAGGAGUCAUAGCUGAACCAGUAGAAGGCGCUCCUCUAGCCUGAGUCGGUCCACUGCGACCUCCUCUAAAUAAAACUCCCCUGGAAGCUCCAGUGGUCCUUAUUCCUCCCAUUCCUCUUCCCAUCUUGAAAGGUUGUGCACUUUUACUAGCCUGCCCAGACGCAAAGCUAGAAAAAUUCCUCUUUCUAUUGUGAAAGUCCCUCACUUGCAGUCUUGCACUUUCAACUCUUUGUGACUUCUCUAAAGCCUCAGUAAAAGUAGAAAUUUGGGUUGCGGCCAAGCCCUCCUGAAUUUCCACAUUAAACCCCUGUACAAACCGUCUAAUCCUCUUCCGUUCAUUGACUACUAGUUCAGGAGUGUACUUAGAAAGUUUAGUAAAUUUCCCUUCAUACUCCGCUACACUCAGAGUCCCCUGUUUCAACUUAAUAAACUCAUCCUCCCUUUUUUCUUGAAUCAAGGGUGGAAAAAAAUUUUCAGUAAAUUCUCUCGUAAAAUUCUCCAAAGUCCAAGGAGUUUGAAUUCUUUUCCAUUUUCCUUUUAUCAAAUUCCACCAAGCACGAGCUACUCCUUCAAAUUGGAAAGUAACAAAAUUCACUCGCCUAUCCUCAGUAUAGUCUAGGGUGGCGAAUAUGUUGGUUAUCCUCUCUAAUCAAUUCUCUGCUAUUUCAGGAUCAGGUUCUUCAAGAAAUUUAGGCGGAUUGAACUUUAAGAACCUCUCUAAGGCUCUAUCC
RNAcentral lists this long non-coding RNA (850 nucleotides) under Coffea arabica (coffee). RNAcentral's name for it is "long non-coding RNA (CARA_LNC005899)". Lineage: Eukaryota; Viridiplantae; Streptophyta; Magnoliopsida; Gentianales; Rubiaceae. The record is from RNAcentral.